Long non-coding RNA from Megalobrama amblycephala (Wuchang bream), 851 nucleotides. RefSeq lists it as uncharacterized. The record is from RefSeq and is a predicted model, not a curated record. The transcript is spliced from 3 exons. NCBI's taxonomy places the organism in Eukaryota, Metazoa, Chordata, Actinopteri, Cypriniformes, Xenocyprididae.
GGUACACUGAGAUCACUGAAUGUCUCUCUCUGUCUUUAAGGAUAUUCUCUCAAGUGUUAUGUGUGUGUGCCUGAUUCAUGGGGUAACUGUAAAGCAACAGUGGAGACAUGUCCAGAUGAUUGUUCUGCAUGUUCAACAUGUACAGCGAAUCUAUCAUAUGGUUACAAAAACAUAACCUUCACAAUUAAAGGGUGUGCAACUCAAUGUCAAAGUACGAAAGCAGAGAUGCCAGAUGGUACGACAGUGGAUCUCCGCUGCUGUAAGAGUAACUUUUGCAAUGCAGAAAAUGCAGCAGAUGGAGUGUUUAAGGGAAGCUUCCUCCUGCUCUUCUCUCCUCUGCUCUUCUACUUCCUGUUUCAGUGAGUCCAGAUUCAAGACUUCAGAUUCUACAGUGAAGAUCAGCGAAUAUGAGACACAUUCUUUCAUACGCAGAAAAUGAGAUCCUUCGAGAAAGUAUAAGAUUACACAAGAGUGUGUAAACACACUUAUGCAUAAAUCAUGAAAAUGUGAUUGUGGUUGUUCAUCUAGUAGGUUAACCAAUCAAAUGUCUGAAAUUCUUAGAAGCAAUAUGACUGUCAUGGUUUUCUGUUUUGAUUUUGUUUUCAAGGUCUUUUAUUUUUUGUUUCUUGUUUCCUGAGUUUGUAAAUUAAUAACUACUGAUUUUUACAGUGGAAAUGAAUCAAUCAAAAACUUCCUUUAGCUGGACAAUAACUUUUUUUUCUAGAGCUGCUGUACAGUCAAAACAAUCUCUGUUCCAGUAAUUUCCUAUUAUCACUGUAAAUCUGCUUUGAAACAAUCUGUAUUGUAAAAAGCACUUUAUAAAUGAAGGUGAUUAAACUUCAUUUUGUUCA